This 383-nucleotide ribosomal RNA is filed under the name uncultured prokaryote. RNAcentral's name for it is "partial 16S ribosomal RNA". The record is from RNAcentral.
CCCUACGGGGUGCAGCAGGAGGAGUUCGCCGGCGUGAUUGAAAAAAGUCAGGAGGUCGAUACCGCUGUUUUCCGACAACGUGGCGGCAUCGGGGCAGUUGGAGGCGACAAAGGCCGGCUCCGGUUUCUGAACGAAGGCAUAGGCGUCGUCCCAGUGGGCCCAGUCGUGCGCCAGGUCGGCAAGGCUGGCGAGUUCGUUGUCAAGCGCCGCGAAUGCCCGGUCGUUGUCUUCGAGCGCCUGAUCCCGUUGCAGGUUGUCAAAGGCUGGUUGGACCAGGAAAUGGUUGAGGACGAGCAGCAGCAGAACGACGACGGCGCUGCCGCCAAGGACGAGCAGGAGGGCUUGCGUUCCCGGACGGGCAAGAAAUGAAUUGGCGGGGGGGC